RNAcentral lists this ribosomal RNA (463 nucleotides) under uncultured bacterium. RNAcentral's name for it is "bacterial SSU rRNA". It matches the Rfam family "Bacterial small subunit ribosomal RNA", at positions 33 to 507 of the family's 1533-position model. The record is from RNAcentral.
ACGACGCUGGCGGCGUGCCUAACACAUGCAAGUCAAGGGUCGUUUAUAGCAAUAUGGACGGCACUGGCGUAAGGGUGAGUAACGCGUAGGUCAUCUGCCCCUAUCACCGACAUAACAGUUCUAACGGACUGCUAAUAUCGGAUGAGGAACGAAAGUUUCAAGGGAGCGAUCCGGAUAGGGAUGAGCCUGCGUCCGAUUAGGUAGUUGGUGAGGUAACGGCUCACCAAGCCGACGAUCGGUAGCUGGUCUGAGAGGACGAACAGCCACACUGGAACUGAGACACGGUCCAGACUCCUACGGGAGGCAGCAGUGAGGAAUAUUGGUCAAUGGACGCAAGUCUGAACCAGCGACGCCGCGUGCGGGAAGAAGGGGCUUUGCCUCGUAAACCGCUGUCAGGAGGGACGAGAGGAUGCCUUAGGCAUCUGGGACGGUACCUCCGAAGGAAGGAUCGGCUAACUACGUG